GACGAACGCUGGCGGCGUGCUUAACACAUGCAAGUCGAACGAAGAGCGAUGGAAGCUUGCUUCUAUCAAUCUUAGUGGCGAACGGGUGAGUAACGCGUAAUCAACCUGCCCUUCAGAGGGGGACAACAGUUGGAAACGACUGCUAAUACCGCAUACGAUCUGACCUCGGCAUCGAGGAUAGAUGAAAGGUGGCCUCUACAUGUAAGCUAUCACUGAAGGAGGGGAUUGCGUCUGAUUAGCUAGUUGGAGGGGUAACAGCCCACCAAGGCGAUGAUCAGUAGCCGGUCUGAGAGGAUGAACGGCCACAUUGGGACUGAGACACGGCCCAGACUCCUACGGGAGGCAGCAGUGGGGAAUCUUCCGCAAUGGACGAAAGUCUGACGGAGCAACGCCGCGUGAGUGAUGACGGCCUUCGGGUUGUAAAGCUCUGUUAAUCGGGACGAAAGGCCUUUUUGCGAAUAGUGAGAAGGAUUGACGGUACCGGAAUAGAAAGCCACGGCUAACUACGUG
RNAcentral lists this ribosomal RNA (510 nucleotides) under uncultured bacterium. Its description in RNAcentral is "partial 16S ribosomal RNA". It matches the Rfam family "Bacterial small subunit ribosomal RNA", at positions 28 to 507 of the family's 1533-position model. The record is from RNAcentral.